This 440-nucleotide ribosomal RNA is filed under the name Roseobacter sp. MED24. RNAcentral's name for it is "bacterial SSU rRNA". It matches the Rfam family "Bacterial small subunit ribosomal RNA", at positions 22 to 508 of the family's 1533-position model. Lineage: Bacteria; Pseudomonadati; Pseudomonadota; Alphaproteobacteria; Rhodobacterales; Roseobacteraceae. The record is from RNAcentral.
GCUCAGAACGAACGCUGGCGGCACGCCUAACACAUGCAAGUCGAGCGCUCACUUCGGUGGGAGCGGCGGACGGGUUAGUAACGCGUGGGAACAUACCCUUUACUACGGAAUAGCCUUUGGAAACGAAGAGUAAUACCGUAUACGCCCUACGGGGGAAAGAUUUAUCGGUAAAGGAUUGGCCCGCGUUAGAUUAGAUAGUUGGUGGGGUAACGGCCUACCAAGUCUACGAUCUAUAGCUGGUUUGAGAGGAUGAUCAGCAACACUGGGACUGAGACACGGCCCAGACUCCUACGGGAGGCAGCAGUGGGGAAUCUUAGACAAUGGGGGAAACCCUGAUCUAGCGAUGCCGCGUGUGUGACGAAGGCCUUAGGGUCGUAAAGCACUUUCGCCAGAGAUGAUAAUGACAGUAUCUGGUAAAGAAACCCCGGCUAACUCCGUGC